UGCUGGGACCACAGGGGCCCUUUGCCAGUAUAGAACAGCAUCCAUGGCAAAUGAGAUCAUGGUGGGUUGGCUUCUGCCUGCCCUGCCUCUCAUGUAUAUCUCUUUAGUGGACAGUUGCCCAGCACUACACCUCAGAAUAAUAUAGAUGUCCGCGCUAAUACCUACGGUCAGCCCUUGUGACUGGAAGAGCUUUUAGGUCUCUGUCUCUCCAGAGGUAUCCUUUUAUACAAGGCGGGUAUGUGCAUGCCUUCACCUAACACACACAGAGUGCACAGGGCUCUCCGAGGUAGGAGUGUCUGUGCUCUCCCCAGCUGCCUGGAAUGAGGCCUCCAUUUUUGUCGUGCCUAUCAGUCACCGUGAGUUUGCUUCUGAGAGAGAAGUAAUGGGAAAAACAGCUAAUCACCCAUUCAUAAUCUCUUAAACAUUAUUUUUAAGCUGAUAGUCGCAAAACAAAAGGCAAUCUCUCUAACUCCA
This is a long non-coding RNA of Peromyscus eremicus (cactus mouse), 474 nucleotides long. RefSeq lists it as uncharacterized. The record is from RefSeq and is a predicted model, not a curated record. The transcript is spliced from 2 exons. NCBI's taxonomy places the organism in Eukaryota, Metazoa, Chordata, Mammalia, Rodentia, Cricetidae.